This 428-nucleotide ribosomal RNA is filed under the name uncultured archaeon. RNAcentral's name for it is "bacterial SSU rRNA". It matches the Rfam family "Archaeal small subunit ribosomal RNA", at positions 474 to 903 of the family's 1478-position model. The record is from RNAcentral.
CACCAGCUCCUCGAGUGGUAGGGAUGGUUAUUUAGCCUAAAGCGUUCGUAGUUGGCUUAUUAAGUCCCUUGUGAAAUCCGACGAUUCAAUCGUCGGGCGCGCGAGGGAUACUACUAGGCUAGGGGACGGGAGAAGUCAACGGUAGUCUCAGGGUAGGGGUGAAAUCCUGUAAUCCUGAGAGGACCACCAGUGGCGAAGGCGGUUGACUAGAACGAGCCCGACAGUGAUGGACGAAAGCUGGGGGAGCGAACCGGAUUAGAUACCCGGGUAGUCCCAGCUGUAAACGAUGCGGGCUAGGUGUUGGGGUAGCCACGAGCCAUCUCAGUGCCGCAGGGAAGCCCUUAAGCCCGCCGCUUGGGAAGUACGGUCGCAAGGCUGAAACUUAAAGGAAUUGGCGGGGAGCACCACAAGGGUGAAGGCUGCGGUUU